Molecule: long non-coding RNA, 842 nt
Filed under: Salmo salar (Atlantic salmon)
Lineage: Eukaryota; Metazoa; Chordata; Actinopteri; Salmoniformes; Salmonidae
Description: lncRNA (ENSSSAG00000106798.1)
Source: RNAcentral
AGAGAGCAAAUUAGAAUCCAAGGAAGUUGACAUGUCAUCACUUCAUUUUUUUGCGCCUGCGCAUAAAUCUGAGAAACAAACCACAUUUGUUCCGGACCUGGGAUGCCUUCCGGACCUGGGAUGCCUGCCUUCUGAUGGAGAUAAUCAAAGAUCUAUCCAUUACCUUCGACACCGUGAACCAUCAGAUCCUCCUUUACACCCUCUCAGGGCUGGGCAUCUGAGGCUCUGCACACUCUUGGAUUGCAUCCUACCUGGCAGACGGCUCCUACCAGGUCUGUUAUUGUACUCGUCAAGAGUGGAUAUCGGAUAAGUGUUCUUGGUCUGCAAGCUAUUGAGGUUCACAUUUAAGCAACUAGCGUUGCUUAGUGACAGAUCAGCUGACGAUACAAGAACAAUCAAGGCAUCAAUAUAAAAAGGUAAAUCAUGUGGAUUGAUGCAGAUGGUUCUAAUGCCUGCUCUUAUCACAUUUGAUUAGGGAAGGUAAUCGGUGUGCAUGCAUGUGAGAUCUUCUCUCUCCCUGAAGAUCUGAGGGGCUAGACAAUCCUCAUUAUGCAGACUCACAUGCUGUUUGAGGCGGGCCGAGCGGCAUGGCAGAAAUACCUUUACCCCUCUUAAAGCUGGUCCCCAGUGGGACUCAACAGCUGUCAUUUACCAUCGGCUCCAUCCCUCUGUAAUCCUGUAUAGCUCUGACUCCAGCUGACCGCAGCCUGCCACCAGCGCUCCCCUGGGAUCCCGCACUACACCGAGAGCCAAUCAGCAUCUGAUUAGAGGAAGCAGCCCAUGGAGAGGAGAGGUGUCCAUCUACCAUUACCCGAAGACAAUCAAACACACACACACACACA